This 214-nucleotide small RNA is filed under the name Oryza sativa Japonica Group (Japanese rice). RNAcentral's name for it is "sRNA Os02g0175850". Lineage: Eukaryota; Viridiplantae; Streptophyta; Magnoliopsida; Poales; Poaceae. The record is from RNAcentral.
CUGAAAAAGUUUUUAAUCACAAUGCAUGCACUUCCAGUUUGAAGUUGCUUAUGAUAAGAUGCAUAGGAAUGUAACAAUAAACUGGAAAGUUUUUUGCUGACUUUCCGUACAAAAUAAACCAUCAAACGAACAUCAUCACAACUCCAGGUAGCUCAUCGGUGGAAGAACAGAAAUUCUGUUAGAUCGAAUCAACCACAGACAAACCCCAAGUCCU